GAGGAAUCAGAGGUUCAAACAGAGGCGGUGUCAGAGGAGGAUCUGGCUGAAGUGCCUCCAUCCCCAUCUGGCAGAUGUGCAGGGAGUCCUGCGUAACCUAUAAGCUGAUCUAUGAAACACUCUAAGCUGAGAUUCCACAUUAAACAUAAUGGAGAAAAACAUACCAGGGAAUCUGAGUCUGGAUCCAAAAAGGUUGGCCAAGACAGAAGCAAGGAUUCAGGGAGGGAGUGCUCAUCCUAAACCGGUGCCUGGAGGCUGUGAAGGGCUGGAUGUGGGCUAACAAACUGAAACUUAAUCGAGACAAGACGGAAGUA
Molecule: long non-coding RNA, 314 nt
Organism: Rhineura floridana
Lineage: Eukaryota; Metazoa; Chordata; Lepidosauria; Squamata; Rhineuridae
Exons: 3
Source: RefSeq, a predicted model, not a curated record